UUGCUUAGGCAGCACAUACACUAAAAUUGGAACCAUACAGAGAAGGUUAUCAUGGCCCCUGUGCAAGGAUGACUUAUAAAUUCAAGAAAUUUUCCAUAUUUUU
Artibeus jamaicensis (Jamaican fruit-eating bat) is the source of this 103-nucleotide small nuclear RNA. Lineage: Eukaryota; Metazoa; Chordata; Mammalia; Chiroptera; Phyllostomidae. The record is from RefSeq and is a predicted model, not a curated record.